AUGUCUGAGUUGAUCGAGCAGCUUUCUAAGGACUUGAAUAACGAGGAAAUCAGGCAUACAUAUUUUGUCAUGUCUCAUGGUUUGGAUGGAUUCCCUGCCGACUUCUAUAAGAAAUCACGGAACAAGUUGGUAGCUAGGUUUGUGCAUUUAUUCAAAAUCUCUGGCAUAAUCCUCAUUGUAUUGGAGAUAUCAACAAAACAAAAUUAUGUUUGA
Vicia faba (fava bean) is the source of this 213-nucleotide non-coding RNA. NCBI's taxonomy places the organism in Eukaryota, Viridiplantae, Streptophyta, Magnoliopsida, Fabales, Fabaceae. The record is from the annotation of a GenBank genome assembly.